This 253-nucleotide ribosomal RNA is filed under the name uncultured bacterium. RNAcentral's name for it is "partial 16S ribosomal RNA". It matches the Rfam family "Bacterial small subunit ribosomal RNA", at positions 524 to 776 of the family's 1533-position model. The record is from RNAcentral.
UACGGAGGGUGCAAGCGUUAAUCGGAAUUACUGGGCGUAAAGCGUGCGUAGGUGGCUUGUUAAGUCAGAUGUGAAAGCCCCGGGCUCAACCUGGGAACGGCAUUUGAAACUGAUAAGCUAGAGUUGAAUAGAGGGGAGUGGAAUUUCAGGUGUAGCGGUGAAAUGCGUAGAUAUCUGAAGGAACACCAGUGGCGAAGGCGGCUCCCUGGAUUCAAACUGACGCUGAGGUACGAAAGCGUGGGUAGCAAACAGG